RNAcentral lists this ribosomal RNA (312 nucleotides) under Citrobacter sp. CK189. Its description in RNAcentral is "partial 23S ribosomal RNA". It matches the Rfam family "Bacterial large subunit ribosomal RNA", at positions 236 to 586 of the family's 2925-position model. The record is from RNAcentral. Lineage: Bacteria; Pseudomonadati; Pseudomonadota; Gammaproteobacteria; Enterobacterales; Enterobacteriaceae.
UCCCCCAGUAGCGGCGAGCGAACGGGGAGGAGCCCAGAGCCUGAAUCAGCUUGUGUGUUAGUGGAAGCGUCUGGAAAGUCGCACGGUACAGGGUGAAAGUCCCGUACACGAAAAUGCACAGGCUGUGAGCUCGAUGAGUAGGGCGGGACACGUGGUAUCCUGUCUGAAUAUGGGGGGACCAUCCUCCAAGGCUAAAUACUCCUGACUGACCGAUAGUGAACCAGUACCGUGAGGGAAAGGCGAAAAGAACCCCGGCGAGGGGAGUGAAAAAGAACCUGAAACCGUGUACGUACAAGCAGUGGGAGCCUCUUU